Molecule: transfer RNA, 63 nt
Filed under: Lardoglyphus konoi
Lineage: Eukaryota; Metazoa; Arthropoda; Arachnida; Sarcoptiformes; Lardoglyphidae
Description: tRNA-Tyr
Source: RNAcentral
UAGCUUUUGACGGAUUUUUAGGAGCUGUAAACUCUUUGUGUUUAUGUCGUCUGUUAUUUUUUU